Molecule: transfer RNA, 59 nt
Filed under: Myrmeleon formicarius
Lineage: Eukaryota; Metazoa; Arthropoda; Insecta; Neuroptera; Myrmeleontidae
Description: tRNA-Gly
Source: RNAcentral
AAUUUAUAUAGUAUAUAAGUAUAUUUGACUUCCAAUCAAAAGGACUAAAUUAUUUUAGU